Molecule: long non-coding RNA, 601 nt
Filed under: Corvus moneduloides (New Caledonian crow)
Lineage: Eukaryota; Metazoa; Chordata; Aves; Passeriformes; Corvidae
Description: lncRNA (ENSCMUG00000018061.1)
Source: RNAcentral
UGUUAAUGUAGGAAAGAAGAAAGAAAGUAAACUAAAGGUGGAACAGGGAUAGUAGUGGAACCAGGACAGGCAGAAGACUGUAGAUUAUAAAUUUAACACCAUAACAAAGAAUUUGUGCUUCAGCUUUCUUCCCAGAAUAUUUUCAUCUAUCUAUGCUAUACCAAAUUUUGUAAUACAGUUCUUUUCACAAGUGGCCUAAGAGGAUAUCAGAAGGCAGCAGAAGAUUCCACCUGAAAAUGGCAUAAUAUGUGGGUACAUCAGAAGUCUCUAUCAAGAGAAUGGGGCAGAGCUAUUACUGCACAACAUGAUAGACAAAAAAGAAAAAAAAAACCACAACGUGAAGGUUUCCAUAGCAGAGAAGAACUUCUAAUGGGGAACUCCAGCGGGAUAAGAGAUAUGCAAUUCAAAGAUGAAAACUUCAGUGACACAAAAGGUUUAUUUCCUUGGUAUCUAAUUUUGUUCCACUUGUUGAAUAUGCAGCUGGAGUGUAUCAUGUGUGCUCCUAGGAUAUAAUACAGCCCACAGAGAAUGGCACAUUAAUGUAGGAGAAAUCACAGGCAGAAAGUAAAAGUCGUGUCCAUUCUGUACCCUUGGACACAGG